RNAcentral lists this ribosomal RNA (420 nucleotides) under uncultured bacterium. RNAcentral's name for it is "bacterial SSU rRNA". It matches the Rfam family "Bacterial small subunit ribosomal RNA", at positions 355 to 776 of the family's 1533-position model. The record is from RNAcentral.
UGAGGAAUAUUCGGCAAUGGGCGCAAGCCUGACCGAGCGACGCCGCGUGAGUGACGAAGCCUCUAGGGGUGUAAAGCUCUUUUGUUGGGGACGAAUGCCUACUACGGUAGGAGGGACGGUACCCGACGAAUAAGGACCGGCUAACUCCGUGCCAGCAGCCGCGGUGAUACGGGGGGUCCAAGCGUUGUCCGGAUUUACUGGGCGUAAAGGGCGCGUAGGCGGGACGAUCAGUCAGAGGUGAAAUGUGCGGGCUUAACCUGCAGAUUGCCUUUGAUACUGUCGUUCUUGAGUGAAGAAGGGGAAAGCGGAAUACCUGGUGUAGCGGUGGAAUGCGCAGAUAUCAGGUAGAACACCGGUGGCGAAGGCGGCUUUCUGGUCUUACACUGACGCUGAGGCGCGAAAGCGUGGGGAGCAAACAGG